This 1348-nucleotide ribosomal RNA is filed under the name metagenome. RNAcentral's name for it is "bacterial SSU rRNA". It matches the Rfam family "Bacterial small subunit ribosomal RNA", at positions 8 to 1321 of the family's 1533-position model. The record is from RNAcentral.
AGAGUUUGAUUCUGGCUCAGAACGAACGCUGGCAGCGUGGAUUAGGCAUGCAAGUCGAACGGGAAUCUUGAGUAUAGCAAUAUAUUUGAGAGGAUAGUGGCGGAAGGGCGAGGAACGCGUGAGUAACCUGCCCUUAGGCUAGGGAUAACCCGCCGAAAGGUGGGCUAAUACCAAAUGUGAUCCUCCUACGCAUGUAGGGGUGAUUAAAGACGGGGAUCCUUCGGGACCUGUCGCUUAAGGAGGGGCUCGCGUCCCAUCAGCUAGUUGGUGAGGUAAUGGCUCACCAAGGCUUACGGGUAGCUGGUCUGAGAGGAUGGUCAGCCGCACUGGGACUGAGACACUGCCCAGACUCCUACGGGAGGCUGCAUUCGAGGAUCUUUUGCAAUGCACGAAAGUGUGACAAAGCGACGCUGCGUGGAGGAUGAAGGCCUUCGGGUCGUAAACUCCUGUCAUCCGGGAACAAUGAGUUUGCCGUUAAUAACGGCAGAAAGUGAUGGUACCGGAAGAGGAAGCCACGGCUAACUCUGUGCCAGCAGCCGCGGUAAUACAGAGGUGGCGAGCGUUGUUCGGAUUUACUGGGCGUAAAGGGUGCGUAGGCGGUUCUGUGUGUCGGUUGUGAAAUCCCACUGCUCAAUGGUGGAACUGCAAUCGAAACUGCGGGACUAGAGUGCAUGAGGGGAGAGGGGAAUUCUUGGUGUAGCGGUGAAAUGCGUUGAUAUCAAGAAGAACACCGGUGGCGAAGGCGCCUCUCUGGAAUGUUACUGACGCUGAGGCACGAAAGCUAGGGGAGCAAACAGGAUUAGAUACCCUGGUAGUCCUAGCUGUAAACGGUGUACAUUUGGUGUGGGAGGAAUUGACCCCUUCCGUGCCGGAGCUAACGCGUUAAAUGUACCGCCUGGGGAGUACGGCCGCAAGGUUAAAACUCAAAGAAAUUGACGGGGGCCCGCACAAGCGGAGGAGCAUGUGGCUUAAUUCGAUCAACGCGAAGAACCUUACCAGGGUUUGACAUUCAGCUGCAAGUCCUAUGAAAGUAGGAUUCCUUCGAGGGUGCUGAACAGGUGCUGCAUGGCUGUCGUCAGUUCGUGCCGUGAGGUGUUUGGUUAAGUCCAGCAACGAACGCAACCCCUGUGGUUAGUUGCCACUCCCGAUGAUGAGUCGGGAAGCACUCUAGCCAGACUGCCCGUAUAAGCGGGAGGAAGGUGGGGAUGACGUCAAGUCAGUAUGGCCUUUAUACCCUGGGCUGCACACGUGCUACAAUGGCCGGUACAGAGGGAUGCAAGACCGUGAGGUGGAGCAAAUCCAAUAAAACCGGCCCCAGUUCGGAUUGAAGUCUGAAACUCGACUUCAU